ACAGCAGCAGCCACGGUAAGACAGAGGAUGCAAGCGUUAUCCGAAAUGAUUGGGCGUAAAGCGUCUAUAGGUGGCUUUUCAAGUCCGCCAUCAAAUCCUAGGGCUCAAACCUGGACAGGCGGUGGAAACUAUCAAGCUAGAGUACGGUAGGGGCAGAAGGAAUUUCCAGUGGAGCGGCGAAAUGAGUUGAGAUCAGAAAGAACACCAACAACGAAAGCACUCUGCUAGGCCGACACUAACACUGAGAGACGAAAGCUAGGGGAGCAAAUGGGAUUAGAUACCCGAGUAGUCCCUGUCUCUUAUAA
Molecule: ribosomal RNA, 305 nt
Filed under: uncultured bacterium
Lineage: Bacteria
Description: partial 16S ribosomal RNA
Rfam family: Bacterial small subunit ribosomal RNA
Source: RNAcentral